RNAcentral lists this ribosomal RNA (496 nucleotides) under uncultured bacterium. RNAcentral describes it as "partial 16S ribosomal RNA". It matches the Rfam family "Bacterial small subunit ribosomal RNA", at positions 28 to 507 of the family's 1533-position model. The record is from RNAcentral.
GAUGAACGCUGGCGGCGUGCCUAAUACAUGCAAGUCGAGCGAACAGACGAGGCGCUUGCUCCUCUGACGUUAGCGGCGGACGGGUGAGUAACACGUGGAUACCCUACCUAUAAGACUGGGAUAACUUCGGGAAACCGGCGCUAAUACCGGAUAAUAUAUUGAACCGCAUGGUUCAAUAGUGAAAGACGGUUUUGCUGUCACUUAUAGAUGAUCCGCGCCGCAUUAGCUAGUUGGUAAGGUAACGGCUUAUCAAGGCAACGAUGCGUAGCCGACCUGAGUGGGUGAUCGGCCACACGGGAACGUAGACACGGUCCAUAGUACUGCGGGAGGGAGCAGUAGGGAAUCUGCCGCAAUGGUCGAGAGCUUGACGGAGCAACGCCGCGUGAGUGAUGAAGAUCUUCGGAUCGUAAAACUCUGUUAUUAGGGAAGAACAAAUGUGUAAGUAACUAUGCACUUCUUGACGGUACCUAAUCAGAAAGCCACGGCUAACUACGUG